GCUAGUUAUUAAUCUGGUUCUACUACUGUAAAAGUAUGGAAUAUGGUGAGGGUAAAAUGAAAUGGCUUGGGGCAGGGCAAUAGUAGAAUAAUGAAAGCACUGGAGAGUAGGAGAGAUAAAUGAAGGAAGGAACACUGUAACUUUCUCUUUGACUCUGUACUUCUUUUAUGUUGUCCACUCAUUUUUUUUUUUCCUUUCCUUCCUUGCAGGGAGAAGGUCACUCUGAUGUGAUGGAAAGGCAGAAAUCAAUGAUGGCUGGCUCCUCAGUGAUAUGAGUCAAUCCAUCAGACAGAAUGAUGGCAGUCACCCAGCCUUCACAGCCACCACCACCAUGCUGGCAAAUGUCACAUUUGGAAUUCAUUUGCAUAGCUGGGUAGCACUCCCUGUGGAGUUACAUUGAACAAUUUUGCAGCUGUGACAGCUUGAAAUAGAAAAGCUAAUGCAGCUAUCAACUUCCGCUGUGCCUUGUUUCCUUAAAAUCUAGCUGGGAAAUCUUGUUACAGAAAGGAGGAAGAUCACGUAAAAUGGAAGGGAAACUGGUGCAAAGCUUUCAGGAACCAAGCACGUCUGGGUGGCGUUUGGAAGAGGCAUACAGGGACAUAGAGGCAUGGUUUCCCACCGACUGAGAUGAAGCUUCUCUUCCUAACAUCCUUCCACAGAAAGCAGAUAGCCAAAAGAUAUUUUUGACUGAAUGGAUGGAGGAAGAUGAGGAGUGAAGACCCCAAUUUCUUUCCCCUCAUAACGAAGUCAAAAGGGGACUCCAUUAUGAAGGAGUGUUGGUGAGAGAAUGUGGAUCCUUACAGCAAAUUGGAACUGUAUGAGAGAUGGAAGAUUUAAUCCAAGCUGUGCCAAGGCUCACCACCCUAGACAGGAGAUUGAUCAUUUCUUAAGAAAUGGUGUGAAAUUUUGGAGAGCGCCACCUGGUGAGUUGAGAGCCCUGGUUUCAUGACUAACCAGCAAGAUUUUUCAAACAUUUAUGUAACUGAGAAAGAAAGAAAGAACAUAAGAAAAUGAAGGCAUGUUUGCCAUUUUCCUAGAAAUAAAUUGGUUUUCUUUAAUAAUUCUGUCAUAAAUAUUACCUAAAUUAUGUGUACUAACCAUAUAUGUGUAUAUUUGUUAGAUAUUGUUUUAUAUAUCAUACAUGUAUAUUUACUUGUAUGUAUGUGUACACAUACAUACAGAUAUACAUAUAUAUAUAUAUAUAUUUUUUUUUAGGAAAAACAAAACGUAGAACACCAUGUAAAUAAAUAUGAUUGCAUAACCAUAGGCUACAAAUAUUCUCCAGUGAAAGUUAAUGUUUUUCCUCACUCAGAAACUGAUGAUAGAAAACUACGUAAACAGUAAAGGCAUAAAUAAUGUUAACAAUAUUAUCAAGCACACUGAGCUAAUUGUUAUUUAUAGAAUGCUACACAAAACUACUGCUAAGUACACAUUCUUUUCAAGGGGCACAUGAUAUGUUUACUGAGAUUGAUUAUAUCCUUGUCCCUAAAGUUUGCCUCCGUAAGUGUAAUAGAUUUAAUUUAUACGGAGUCUGUUUUGUCAAUGUAAUUAAAUAAACAAAUAAAUAAAAAUCAGAAUUUGUAUUUAUUUCAAAAUUUUGUUUAUUUUUAUUUUUUAAUUUCCAAAAAUAGUUGGAAAUUAAACGACCUUCUUCUAAAUAAUAUAUAAGUCAAAGAAGAAAUUAUGAAGAAAUUUAGAAAAUAUUUUGAAUAAAAUUGAAAGGAAACUACAACCUAUUGUGGGAGGUGGCUAAGUGAGAGCCUAGAGGGGAGAGUAGGACAUUAAAUGUACAUAUUUGAUGAGAAUAAAUAUUUACACUUUCUACUGAUAUUAGCUUGCAACUAGAGAAGUUAGAAAAAGGAAAGCACAGUGAAUUUAAUGUAAGUGGAAAGAAUAAAAUAAUGUCAGUAGAAAGAACAAACUUAAUGAGUUGUAGACAAAAGCCAAAGACAAAAAACUUUUCAAAAUGAGAGAAAAUUAUCAUGGCCAAAACUUAGUUCUUCUGAAAGAUCAACAAAUGGACAACUUCCAAGCUGGAUUUAUUAAGACGCAAAAGAGAUGCCUAAAACACAAAUAUCAAGAGUAAAAGACAGGUUUGACUACAGACACCAAAGAGAUAAAAGGGAGUAAUGAUAACAUUAUGCCAACAUCUUCUACAGCUUAGAUAAUGUGAAUGGCUAUAUAAAAAACAAGACCUAUCAUAAGCAAGCUCUCUCAGAAAAUAGGGAUAAAAACACUUCCUUUUUUUUUGAGACAGAGUUUCGCUGUUGUUACCCAGGCUGGAGUGCAAUGGCACAAUCUCGGCUCACCGCAGCCUCCGCCUCCUGGGUUCAGGCAAUUCUCCUGCCUCAGCCUCCUGAGUAGCUGGGAUUACAGGCACGCGCCACCAUGCCCAGCUAAUUUUUUAUAUUUUUAGUAGAGACGGGGUUUCACCAUGUUGACCAGGAUGGUCUCGAUCCCUUGACCUCGUGAUCCACCUGCCUCGGCCUUCUAACACAUUUUAUGAUGCCAACAUAACCUUAAUUUCAAAACCUAAUAAAGAUAUUGUAGAAGGAGGAAAUCAUAGACUAAUAAUCUUCAUAAUAAUAAUUGAAACAUCAUUAGUAGAAUAUUAUCCAAUUUUAUAUAACUGUAUAUAAAAGGCAUAUAUUUGGACAAACCAUUUCUGGGUUUAUCCCAGAAAUGGAGUGUUUGUUUAACAUUUGGCCGUCAUUAUAUAUUAUUCAUCAAGUAAUAAAAUAAAGAAGAAAAAAUAACAUGACUUUGACAAAGAGGAAAAAACUUUUGGCAAACUUCUACUCUCAUUUAUGAUUUUAAAAACUCUCAGCAACUAGUCACAGGAGAGAACACGCUCUGCUUGAGAAACAAAAUUUAUAAAAUCCUACCAUUAACACAUGGUUAAUAAUAAACUAUUAAAUAUUUUCUCUUUCAGAUGGGGGGAAAUUUAAGGAAGUCCACUCUUUCUACUUUUGUUCAAUAUAAUACUGAAGUUUUAAUAAGAUAAAAAUAAAUAAAAGGCGGUAGGUUCAGAAAGAAGAAAUAUGUAUGUAUGUAUGUAUGUAUAUUAUUUUACAUAUACAUAAUUUUACGUAAACUAUCCUGAACAAUCAAACAGAAACCAAAAGUGAAGAUUAAAUUUAGCUUGGUUAUAGAAGAUUAAAACAAAAAAAUUGUAUUUUCUAUGUUAACAAUCAGAAGAUGAAAGUUUAAAAAUAUUUUGUUAUAAUAGCAUCACAGAUAUUAAAUGCUGUUGAAUAAAUUUAGCAAGAGACCUUCAGUACCUCAG
This 3286-nucleotide long non-coding RNA is filed under the name Callithrix jacchus (white-tufted-ear marmoset). RNAcentral's name for it is "lncRNA (ENSCJAG00000055703.2)". The record is from RNAcentral. Lineage: Eukaryota; Metazoa; Chordata; Mammalia; Primates; Cebidae.